Molecule: ribosomal RNA, 824 nt
Filed under: Rhodococcus (subgen. Prescottella) equi
Lineage: Bacteria; Bacillati; Actinomycetota; Actinomycetes; Mycobacteriales; Nocardiaceae
Description: Prescottella equi partial 23S ribosomal RNA
Rfam family: Bacterial large subunit ribosomal RNA
Source: RNAcentral
CCUUCACUAUAGCUUGGUAUUGGUGGUUCGGUUCGGUUUGUGUAGGAAGGUGGGAGACUGUGAAGCGCGGGCACGCCAGUGUUCGUGGAGUCGUUGUUGAAUCCACUCUGAUCGUAUUGGACAUCUAACCUCGGACCAUGAUCUGGUUCGGGACAGUGCCUGGUGGGUAGUUUAACUGGGGCGGUUGCCUCCCAAAUGUAACGGAGGCGCCCAAAGGUUCCCUCAGCCGGUUGGCAAUCAGGUGUCGAGUGCAAGUGCACAAGGGAGCUGACUGUGAGACUGACAGGUCGAGCAGGGACGAAAGCGGGACUAGUGAUCCGGCACCGGCAAGUGGAAGCGGGUGUCGCUCAACGGAUAAAGGUACCCCGGGGAUAACAGGCUGAUCUUCCCCAAGAGUCCAUAUCGACGGGAUGGUUUGGCACCUCGAUGUCGGCUCGUCGCAUCCUGGGGCUGGAGUAGGUCCCAAGGGUUGGGCUGUUCGCCCAUUAAAGCGGCACGCGAGCUGGGUUUAGAACGUCGUGAGACAGUUCGGUCUCUAUCCGCCGCGCGCGUUAGAAACUUGAGGAAGGCUGUCCCUAGUACGAGAGGACCGGGACGGACGAACCUCUGGUGUGCCAGUUGUUCCGCCAGGAGCACUGCUGGUUAGCUACGUUCGGAAGGGAUAACCGCUGAAAGCAUCUAAGCGGGAAGCCUGUUCCAAGAUGAGGUUUCUCACCCCUCGAGGGGGUAAGGCCCCCGGCAGACCACCGGGUUGAUAGGCCAGAACUGGAAGCACAGUAAUGUGUGGAGGUGACUGGUACUAAUAGGCCGAGGACUUACCACAA